This 258-nucleotide ribosomal RNA is filed under the name uncultured bacterium. Its description in RNAcentral is "partial 16S ribosomal RNA". It matches the Rfam family "Bacterial small subunit ribosomal RNA", at positions 96 to 354 of the family's 1533-position model. The record is from RNAcentral.
UGGCGGACGGGUGAGUAACGCGUGGAAAACCUGCCGUAUACUGGGGGACAACACUUAGAAAUAGGUGCUAAUACCGCAUAAGCGCACAGCUUCGCAUGAAGCGGUGUGAAAAACUCUGGUGGUAUACGAUGGUUCCGCGUCUGAUUAGCUAGUUGGUGGGGUAAUGGCCUACCAAGGCAACGAUCAGUAGCCGGCCUGAGAGGGUGGACGGCCACAUUGGGACUGAGACACGGCCCAAACUCCUACGGAAGGCAGCAG